UUUAACAAAGGUGAAAGCCUGUGAAACAAAAGAAUCCCUUCUUACUUGUUUCACGUUUGUGUUUGUUGACCGCAGUUCCAACCAGGUGGACUCUCAAUGUCUUGCAAGCGACACCUAGAAGCAGGUACAGGCAGGAGGUACAGCACCCUGCAACCUCCAGGGGCCUUUGUGCAACACCAGAUGUUCAUGUCCUAGAAGCACGUGGCGGAGCACGUCCUGGGAUCAAGGUGCCAUGGACUGGAAAAUGCAGCUCUGGACAUACAGGCUUGGCGGAGUUCCUGUGUGAAGACAAAACUCCCAGUACUCCAGAAACGUGGAGGCAGAAGAGCAGUGACAAGG
Long non-coding RNA from Gallus gallus (chicken), 339 nucleotides. RefSeq lists it as uncharacterized. The record is from RefSeq and is a predicted model, not a curated record. Lineage: Eukaryota; Metazoa; Chordata; Aves; Galliformes; Phasianidae. The transcript is spliced from 2 exons.